UUGAUUUAGCAAUUGGUAUUGAUUUGCCCAAAUUAUUGAGAGAAAGAAAAUUCAGCAAAGGCAAAGACCUCAAAAGCACAAAUAAAAAACUGUUCCAAUGGUCAAAAGACUAAGAACAGAGCUAAUAGCCACUUGGAAAGGUGACCAACUGAGUAACUGGGGGUGGGUAUCACAAAUAUGUACCUUCACGUCAAAAGGUUGGUGACUUCUCCAAGCAAGAUCUAAAGUGCAAAAAGCCUGAAUAAAGUACUUCAAGGUAAGGGCAAGUCACACCAAAAGCUAGAAAAAGUCUUAACAAAUAAAUGUGCAUGUAUGGUCUCUCUUGAGGAAAACAAAUCCUAGCCAUGGUAAGCAAAGGGAAACGAGGAAAGAAGGUGAGUAAUCUUCAUGCAUAUAUUCUUCACUACAAUGAUUCAAAAUAGGGGUCUAGAGUAAGAGCUUAAGUGGAAAUAAGGAUCUAGAGUGAGAAAACUUAUUUGACUAUGUUUAUUUGCUUGAGGACAAACAAAAUGUUAAGUGUGGG
Molecule: long non-coding RNA, 523 nt
Filed under: Manihot esculenta (cassava)
Lineage: Eukaryota; Viridiplantae; Streptophyta; Magnoliopsida; Malpighiales; Euphorbiaceae
Description: long non-coding RNA (MESC_LNC011577)
Source: RNAcentral